GCCAGGUGUGGUGGCGCACACCUGUAAUCCCAGCUACCUGGGAGGCUAAGGCAGGAGAAUCGCUUGAACCCAGGGGGCGGAGGUUGCAGCGAGCCGAGAUCACGCCACUGCACUCCAGCCUGGGUGACAGAACGAGACUCUGUCUUAA
Molecule: non-coding RNA, 148 nt
Filed under: Gorilla gorilla gorilla (western lowland gorilla)
Lineage: Eukaryota; Metazoa; Chordata; Mammalia; Primates; Hominidae
Source: Rfam by way of RNAcentral